AACGAACGCUGGCGGCAUGCCUAACACAUGCAAGUCGAACGAAGCCUUCGGGCUUAGUGGCGCACGGGUGCGUAACGCGUGGGAACCUACCAUCAGGUUCGGAAUAACAGUUAGAAAUGACUGCUAAUACCGGAUAAUGUCUUCGGACCAAAGAUUUAUCGCCUUUUGAUGGGCCCGCGUAAGAUUAGGUAGUUGGUGGGGUAAAGGCCUACCAAGCCGACGAUCUUUAGCUGGUCUGAGAGGAUGAUCAGCCACACUGGGACUGAGACACGGCUCAGACUCCUACGGGAGGCAGCAGUGGGGAAUAUUGGACAAUGGGCGAAAGCCUGAUCCAGCAAUGCCGCGUGAGUGAUGAAGGCCUUAGGGUUGUAAAGCUCUUUUACUGGGGAUGAUAAUGACAGUACCCAGAGAAUAAGCUCCGGCUAACUCCGUG
This 433-nucleotide ribosomal RNA is filed under the name uncultured bacterium. RNAcentral's name for it is "bacterial SSU rRNA". It matches the Rfam family "Bacterial small subunit ribosomal RNA", at positions 29 to 507 of the family's 1533-position model. The record is from RNAcentral.